AUGGGGAUGAGGCCAUGCCAAAGUCAGGAGGAGCCCCCCGGGGGCUCCCUGCGCCUCCUCUGCCGAGCAUCCGGGUUCGAUGUUGGCGGUGUCACCCUGUUCUGGAUCCGCCAGAGGCCCGGGCAGGGGCUGGAGUGGGUCGGGAGCAUCAGGAAGGAAGGUUGGAGCUCCGCGUACGCGCCCUCGGUGCGGGGCCGGUUCACGAUCUCGAGGGACAACGGGCAGAGCUCGGUGACGCUGACCAUGAACAGCCUCAAGGACGAGGAUUCCGGCUCCUAUUUCUGUGCCAAAUCUGCUGGUGCUGGUGCUGGUGGUUACAGUGUUGGUGCUAUUGAGCAGCUACUGGGGACGCGCCUGUCCCUGUGUCCCAACCCUGCUCUGGCUCUGCCCCAAAUUCUCAGCUCUUGGCCACAAAGUUGA
Non-coding RNA from Agelaius phoeniceus (red-winged blackbird), 420 nucleotides. The record is from the annotation of a RefSeq genome assembly. NCBI's taxonomy places the organism in Eukaryota, Metazoa, Chordata, Aves, Passeriformes, Icteridae.